GACGAACGCUGGCGGCGUGCUUAACACAUGCAAGUCGAACGGAAAGGCCCUGCUUUUGUGGGGUGCUCGAGUGGCGAACGGGUGAGUAACACGUGAGUAACCUGCCCUUGACUUUGGGAUAACUUCAGGAAACUGGGGCUAAUACCGGAUAGGAGCUCCUGCUGCAUGGUGGGGGAUGGAAAGUUUCGGCGGUUGGGGAUGGACUCGCGGCUUAUCCGCUUGUUGGUGGGGUAGUGGCUUACCAAGGCUUUGACGGGUAGCCGGCCUGAGAGGGUGACCGGCCACAUUGGGACUGAGAUACGGCCCAGACUCCUACCGGAGGCAGCAGUGGGGAAUAUUGCACAAUGGGCGGAAGCCUGAUGCAGCAAUGCCGCGUGCGGGAUGACGGCCUUCGGGGUGUAAACCGCUUUCGCCUGUGACGAAGCGUGAGUGACGGUAAUGGGUAAAGAAGCAACGGCUAACUACGUG
RNAcentral lists this ribosomal RNA (468 nucleotides) under uncultured bacterium. RNAcentral describes it as "partial 16S ribosomal RNA". It matches the Rfam family "Bacterial small subunit ribosomal RNA", at positions 28 to 507 of the family's 1533-position model. The record is from RNAcentral.